CACCAGGCUUUUCUAAAAGCCAUAAAGAGAACAUUUCCUUUAGGGU
Non-coding RNA from Sus scrofa (pig), 46 nucleotides. The record is from Rfam. Lineage: Eukaryota; Metazoa; Chordata; Mammalia; Artiodactyla; Suidae.